Molecule: transfer RNA, 87 nt
Filed under: Nostoc cf. commune SO-36
Lineage: Bacteria; Bacillati; Cyanobacteriota; Cyanophyceae; Nostocales; Nostocaceae
Description: tRNA-Ser
Rfam family: tRNA
About the family: Transfer RNA (tRNA) molecules are approximately 80 nucleotides in length. Their secondary structure includes four short double-helical elements and three loops (D, anti-codon, and T loops).
Source: RNAcentral
UGGAGAGGUGUCCGAGUGGUUCAUGGUGACGCACUCGAAAUGCGUUUUGGGGAAACCCAACGGGGGUUCGAAUCCCCCCCUCUCCGU